AUGCUUAGGUCUUGCCACUUCUCCGUAGUCGCUACUUGGACGGCUUUGUUGAUGGCACUCUACCGUGCCUCCGUCGUAUCACCCGGGGCAUCAUGCGUGGGUGGGUCAAGAUCAGGCCAUCCUUUCUGCCAUCCAGUCCUCUCUUACGGAGGGGGUCUCGUCACUAGUCAUCUUCGCCGCUACGUCUCGGGACGCGUGGAUGACCCUUCAUACCAGCUUUGCUUCGCAGUCUCAGGCGCGGGCUCACGCCAUCCGCACUGCGCUUGGGGAGGUGAAGCUUCAUGA
Molecule: ribosomal RNA, 285 nt
Filed under: Triticum aestivum (bread wheat)
Lineage: Eukaryota; Viridiplantae; Streptophyta; Magnoliopsida; Poales; Poaceae
Description: partial small subunit ribosomal RNA
Source: RNAcentral